RNAcentral lists this long non-coding RNA (25807 nucleotides) under Triticum aestivum (bread wheat). RNAcentral's name for it is "long non-coding RNA (TAES_LNC003296)". The record is from RNAcentral. Lineage: Eukaryota; Viridiplantae; Streptophyta; Magnoliopsida; Poales; Poaceae.
UACGAACAACAUCGAUCAAUUUCUUUUUUUUAUUUGUACACCUUCUCACAACUUUAUCUUCAGUUGUGAUGUGAAUAUUGACACUGAUCUACGAACCAUUGAAAUGCAUUAGCCAUGGUAGCUGUGACGUCCCGUUACGUCCAACAGAGUCAGGCGUAACGGAAGCCGUCACUUCAGAGUUGCAUCAGGAUCAGUUAAGGAAAACAGUAUCAUGUACAAGACGCAGCAGCUGCCAUGAGUAGGCAAGUUUUUAUUACAUAGACACCUCAAGUGUCGACUAAGCCUAAGUGACCAUGACGAUAGAUCGUCACCCAUUUCUAGUGCGAGCCUUCUAGACCAACCAUGGAGGGCAUCUACUCUCCAUAGUCUUGAUUGCCAACAUCCUCAUAAUCAUACUCCACUUCCGAAUAACCAGAGUCGUCAAGAUCACCAGACUCAUCAUAAGUACCAUUCUCUAGUGCCUCAGAGUUCUCAUAACUCCCUUGUUCUGAGAAAAAACAUAAGCGCAACUGAGUACAUAUAAAAUACGUAAUCCGCAAGUCGCAGGGAAAAGUGGAUGUAUGAGUUUUUUUAAAGAGGAAAAACUUUAUCGGCCAUGGCUACCACCACCGAGCCAUUAGCUUAAAAUACUUUGUAGGUCAAAAAAAUUAUUUUCCCUUAACCUAUUAUGUUGAAAAUUAAUUUUAUUUAUAAAAUCUACUAGCGACAGAGCAAUGUGGGAUCUUACAUCCUGUGUUAGAGAAAAACCCACACGACGCACUUCCAACCCCGAAAGCUGGGAGUGAUAUCACAUUUAUUCUGAUCAGAGGUGUACUGCUUUGCCCAUAGCAUCACUAGGUCCAAGUCGUCCAUGCGCUACUCGUGCGCACGACUAGACCAAGGAACCAAAACCUUUAACCAGCCCGUAGACUACCUCUGCUUUUCCACCUUGCCUUACUAUAGGUCCGCGGGUCUAGUCCCCUGACCGGCGGUCCCACCCUAGGGUGACUGUACCUACCUGGGUACAACCACCUUCUCACUCAUGCAGAGGUAGCUACUUGGCAUGGGUAGUCGGUUCAGCCCGUCCCAUUCCAGGUCUAUGGUCAGUAUGGUUUGUGCCGCUUUUGACGUAAGCGCUAGUUGGUUGUGUCCUAAUGUAAUACGCUAUGUAGAGGAGUCUGCCAUCCAAGCCAACCCUAAACGGAUUGCCUUCACCAACAUGAGCUCCCCUACCCACCAAAUUUUUAUUUAUAAUGUAACCCUGCCCGAGUCACGACUACUUAAUAUAGAUACUUCACCUGAUCUGGUCCAAUUGCCAAAUCAGUGGAUCCACCUGAUCCAAAUUUCAUUUUAUUUAUGAAAUGUAUUUAUUUUUAGUUCUUAUGCAAAAUUUUGGAAAUGACCCAUAGCCCGGAAAACAUUUAUCAAGACAUGAUCAAGGAGAUGACGACUUGCCGGGUAGCGCUCCGACCAACUCGGAACCACCAGAUGUGGGUCCUAUGCCUGAUAAUUAUUUCACAAAGAAGUUUAUAUUUUUCCCUAAUCAAGAUCCAAGCAUCAAGUAACACUUCCAUACGGUGCAAUCCAUUUUAAUUAAAGAGGUAAUGAUACAUGCUAGUGUGUAAUUAGAAGCAAAAUGCAUACAUCACAUCAAGAAGUACUCCCUCCGUUCCAAAAUAAUUGUCUUUCUAGCCAUCUCAAAUGGACUACAACAUACGGAUGUAUGUAGACAUGCUUUAGAGUAUAGAUUCACUUAUUUUACUUCGUAUGUAGUGACUUGUUGAAAUCUCUAGAAAGACAAUUAUUUCGGAACGGAGGGAGUAGUACGCACGUGCACAUCACAAAGAGCAAGCAAGCAAGCUCAAAAGGAAAAAACGUGUUUAGCUGGUCGAACCCAACCCCGGCAGAAAUAUCAUUUCUUUUUUCUCCAACUAGUCAUCUUCCCCAGCUCUCUACCUCUCUCUCUCUCACUGUCACUGGUAUGCUCAGCCACGAACAGAACCAACUCCAUCUCUCUCUCCCUAACUACAGAGCAGGUCGCCGCCGGCUCGAUCUGCCACUUCCGGACAUCUCCGGCGACACCGUGGACACCCACAGAAUCCCCUCGACUCCCUCUACCAUAUCCCCCCAUUUAUUUGAUCCGCCGCCGCCAAAAUCGCCGCCACCCUCAAACCCCAGCGUCGUCUGCAUCGGGUCCGAUGGGUUCACCACGGGCCGCAGUAGCAAUGGCAUAUCCCUGCCUACAACCUCCUCCAGCAGAGCUGCACGCACGAGGCAUGCAACUACGGCCGUCGGGAGCGAGCAUCUUAACCGGCGCGGCUCCGGCAACAUGGCCGCUACCGGCGCCUGGCUCGCCUUUGUCUACUGCUACUAGUGUAAGUGUCAGUCCAAAUUUCUCUCUGUGCAGUGUUCUUACCUCUACUGCUAGUGUUUGUGCUAUGACUCCCCUUACUGCCAUGCUUCUUGUUAAUAUCAAGACCAAGGAAUUAAUCAAGCUUUACUCGAUGGUGUGGACGUGGUCUCCAGAUUUAUUCUAUAUUGUUUAUUCAAUUUUUAGCUCUACUACACUAUCCUCGCACUACUAUGAUUCUUUUUUAAUUAAGCUCAUAACUAGGAAUUAACCAGUGAAUUCCUACUAUUACCGACUUGAUCAAAAAGCGACAAGUUAAUUGCUUCUGAUAGUUAGGUGCUGCCACAAACUAAAUCUAAAUGUUGCUUCUACUGUGUGUGCGCGUGCACUCAUUUCUGGACCCUACAAUAGUCAAGUGAACAUUGACAUUGAUCACUCAAAACAUACUUAGAAAGGGGAUCAGGAAAGGGAAAAUAAAAGGAUAUCAGGAAUUUAUUUGUACAAGAUUUGCACAAAGUAUGUUUAUUUAUUUUUCUGUUUUCAGAAUGAGGCAUGUGCAAAUGAGACAUGGCAAACAUUAGCCAAACAAUGUUCAAUACAACUAGGAAGGGAUCAUUAAGAUGAGUAGCAUACACAGGAAGCUUGAGCUAUUAGCUGUACAUGUAAAUCUUAGCAAGUUAAUAUUUGGGGUUUAAUUCUCAGCAUGACAUGUCUAUUAUAUACAUAGAUUUAGUACAAGACAGAGAUGGACAUGCAUAGUACACAUGCAUCACUAAACCACCAUGUACCAAUUUGUCUUCAUCUAAUUUAUGUGCUUUCUUUUUCUAACCAUCAUUCUUCUUUUUACAAAGUAACUAGAGUCCAAAAGAUCAGGUGUUCAUGUUCUAAGCAAAGAUGAAGAUGGAUCAAGCAAACAAAGCUGCAAAAGCAAGGCACUUGAAUAGUACCUGAUGGCAACUCAGCAUCCGACCAAAAGAGUGGAUGGGGAUGGUGGGGAGAGCUUGGUUCUCUCUUGUGCGUGUUGUGUGCAGUAGAGGAAGUCAAAGGUGAAAGGAGGAGGCUGCUAUUUAUAGUAGUGUAGGGUGCUAGGUCGGUUUGGUAAAAGAGAGAUGUGGCUGACAUGCAUGGUUGCAUGAGCAUGCAAGCCUCCACAUGUAAUCAUGUGAGUUGUACAACGGACAAGUGUAUAGUGCAUGGUUCGACACGAGAUGGCAUAUAAUUUGUGUGUAAGGAAUGAGACAAGGGCCUAAUUAUAAAUCUGCAAACAAUAAGGGAGUUGGAGAAGAACCAUUGUACAUGGCUAAAUACUAACUUUUUUGGUUGCAAUAAAUUUUUGAUAUUAGUGUUGUGGUCAAUUAUAAUUAUUCAACUAACUAUGCCUUGUGACACUGGUGUAACAUAGCGCCGUCAAAAAUAUUGUUAUCUAAUUUUGAGGGUUUUUACAUCCCUUCCCCCUUCGAAAAAUUUCGUCCUCGAAAUUUGAGUUGUGACUCGUAUAGGCUGGCCCAAGUCUAACCCUCUCAGCCUAAUCAUGUAUAGGCUAGCAUUAAAGAUUAUACACUCAAUGCAUAUGGGAUUGUUGUGGAAGACAGGCUCAACAAUUAUUGGGCCUCCGAGUGAGUCUACUUCUAUGAGUUUGGCUAGGGAGGUUCGGUCCAGACUACAUGUCUCAGCAAAGUGUCGGGAUAUGAAAGGAUAUGUUGCCCUUGAUGUAAUAAAAUAAAUAAUAAUAAUACUAAGACUACUGCAAGAGGGAUUUAUAGGUUACUGAUGACCCACAAGUGUAGGGAAUCUAUCGUAGUCCUUUCGAUAAGUAAGAGUGUCGAAUCCAAUGAGGAGCAGAAGGAAAUGAUAAGCGGUUUUCAGUAAGGUUUUCUCUGCAAGUACUGAAACUGUAGGUGAUAGAUAGUUUUGUGAUAAGAUAAAUAGUAACGAGUAACAAGUAAAUAAAGUAAAUAAAGUGCAGCAAGGUGGCCCAAUCCUUUAUGUAGCAAAGGAUAAGCCUGGACAAUUUUUAAUAGUGAUAAAGGAGCUCCCGAGGAAAAAUUGGGAAUUAUCGUCAAGCUAGUUUUCAUCACGUUCAUAUGAUUCGCGUUCGGUACUUUGAUAACUUGAUAUGUGGGUGGACCGGUACUUGGUUACUGCCCUAACUUGGACAAGCAUCCCACUUAUGAUUAACCCCUAUUGCAAGCAUCCGCAACUACAAAAAGAAGUAUUAAGGUAAACCUAACCACAACAUUAAACAUAUGGAUCCAUAUAAGCCCCUAAUGAAGCAACGCAUAAACUACGGUUUAACCUUCUGUCACUCUAGCAACCCAUCAUCUACUUAUUACUUCCCCAUGCCUUCCUCUAGGCCCAAAUAAUGGUGAAGUGUCAUAUAGUCGACGUUCACAUAACACCACUAGAGGAAAAGACAACAUACAUCUCAUCAAAAUAUCGAAUGAAUACCAAAUUCACGUGACUACUAAUAGCAAGACUUCACCCAUGUCCUCAAAAACAAACGUAACUGCUCACAAAGCAUAUUCAUGUUCAUAAUCAGAGGAGUAAUAAUAUGCAUAAAGGAUCUGAACAUAUUAUCUUCCACCAAGUAAACCAAUUAGCAUCAACUACAAGGAGUAAUCAACACUACUAGCAACCCACAGGUACCAAUUUGUGGUUUUGAUACAAGAUUGGAUACAAGAGAUGAACUAGGGUUUUGGGAGGAGAUGGUGCCGGUGAAGAUGUUGAUGGAGAUUGACCCCCUCCCGAUGAGAGGAUCAUUGGUGAUGACGUUGGUGAUGAUUUACCCCUCCCGGAGGGAAGUGUCCCCGGCAGAAUAGCUCUGCCAGAGCCCUAGAUUGAUUCCGCCAAGAUUCCACCUCGUGGCGGCGGAGUUUCGUCCCGUAAGCUUGCCCACAAUUUUUUCCAGGGUAAAAGUGAUGAUAUGGCAGAAGAUGGACGUCGGAGGCCCACCAGGGGGCCUAGGAGAUAGGGGGCGCGCCCCCUGUCUCCUGGACAGGGUGUGGGCCCCCUGGCAUAUUUCAGGACUUUUGGAGCUGUGCAGAAUAGGUUUCCAACGUUUGCUCCUUUUCUAGCUAGAAUUUCAGCUGCCAGCAUUCCCCCUCUUCAUGGUAAACCUUGUAAAAUAAGAGAGAAUAGCCAUAAGUAUUGAGAUAUAAUGUGUAAUAACAACCCAUGAUGCAAUAAAUAUUGAUAUAAAAGCAUGAUGCAAAAUGGACGUAUCAACUCCCCAAGCUUAGACCUCGCUUGUCCUCAAGCGGAAGCCGAAAUUGAAAAAUAUGUCCACAUGUUUAGAGAUAGAGGUGUCGAUAAAAAUAAAAUAUGGACAUGAGGGCAUCAUGAUCAUUCUAAUAACAACUACAUACAUAAAUUUUGUCAUAUGAUUCUCUAUGCUCAAGAUACAAGCAAUUCAUAAUGUCAAGUAUGGUUCAAAAACUUCAUUGGGAACUAACAAACUAUGAUCUCAGUCAUUGAAGCAAUUGCAAUUUAUCGUAACAUCAGAAAGAGUCAAUAAUGGAGCUUUUCAGCAAGCUCACAUACUCAACUAUCUCUUAGUCUUCUACAAUUGCUAACACUCACACAGUACUUGUGGUUAUAGAGUUUCAGCCGGACACUGAGAAAGAUAGGGGCUUAUUGUGUUGCCUCCCAACGUAUUCACCUUUAGGUGAUGUCAACAAUAAUAGCCCAUGCUAACUUACAUCCAAUUGGAUAUAUAUAUAUCAUGAUCUUUCAAACACGAGGAGCUUGCCAAAGGAUAAAAUGAAAAAGGGACAGGUGAGGAUCACCUUGACUCAAGCAUAAAGUAAAAACAUAAAGUAAAAGAUAGGCCCUUCGCAGAGGGAAGCAGAGGUUGUCAUGUGCGUUUAGGGUUGAUGAACAAAAUCUUAAUGCAAAAGAACGUCACUUUAUAUUGCCCCUUGUAUGUGGACCUUUAUUAUGCAGUCCGUCGCUUUUAUUACUUCCACAACAAGUUCGUACAAAGCUUAUUUUCUCUGCACUAAUAAGUCAUACAUAUUUAGGUAGCAAUUUUAUCGCUUGCAACAUGACAACUUACUUGAAGGAUCUUACUCAAUCCAUAGGUAGGUAUGGUGGACUCUCAUGGCAAAACUGGGUUUAAGGGUAUUUGGAAGCACAAGUAGUAUCUCUACUUGGUGCAAGGAAUUUGGCUAGCAUGAGGGGGAAAGGCAAGCUCAAUAUGUUCGGAAGGUCAAUGACAAUAUACUUUAACUGAGAUGUCGGAAAACAUAGACCAUUACGUUGUCUUCCUUGUCCAACAUCAACUAUUUUAGCAUGUCAUACUUAAUGAGUGCUUCACAAUCAUAAAAGAUGUCCAAGAUAAUAUAUUUAUAUGUGAACCCCUCUUUCCUUAUCACUUCCUAUUAAUUGCAACGAUGACCAAGGCUACGUUCAUCAACUCUCAACAAUUUUUAUGCCUCAUACGUUCUAUGUGUGAAGUUAUCACUAUCCAUAAGAUCAAUAUGAACUCCAUUAUUCUUUCUACUUUCUCAAGAUCAUAGCAACAUAGCAAGGCCCUUGAAUCGACACUAAUCUUUAUUAUAGAUAACUCACGGACUCGAUUACAAAAAGAGAUCAAAAAGCAAAACUCGAAACUACUUGAUACCUAAAUUUCAAUCUACUAGAUCAAGAUACUACUAAAAGGAUCGAACUAAAUAAAACGGUAAAGAUAGGAGUGUGAUGGUGAUACGAUACCGGGGCACCUCCCCCCAAGCUUGGCAGUUGCCAAGGGGAGUGCCCAUAUCCAUGUGAUUAUGUCCUCGGAGGUGGUGAAGUAGGAGUUGUUGAUGAUGUAGGCUUGUCGUCCGUCUUCCAAGGCAUAGGCUCUCCAUCAUAAAAGGAUGAACGAGUCUCCGGGAUCCUUAAAUCUGCAGCCAAACUCAUUCGCUUGAAUCUAUAUUCAUACUCACAGUUCUGAUUUUGUAGGUCAUAGAUCUGGGAUUGGAGGUGCUCGAUUUUCUCUUGAAGCUUGAAGAUGGUCUCCCAAAUGACUUUAGCAUCUAGCUUGUGGUUGUUGGUGAACUCUGUGAUCAUCAUCUAGUUGGCGUUGAGUCCACGCUCCACCAUCCCUUGGCACUUUAAAACUUCCUGUUCCAUGGCUUCGAGCUUUGUCUCCACGCUCCCGGUAUGCCUUGGUCCCUCCACAUCGCGGAUGUGCAGCACCCCCUCACGCAUCUCAAUGGUUUGAGGAUGAUGCAGCACCUCCGCGAGAUAGGGGUUGAUAACCCUCUCGAAAAACUUGUCCUUGGGAGCGCUUGGAGACGCCAUGAUGCUCUAGAUCUGAAAUAGUAACAACUCGAAACGAAAACAGUGGAUAUUUGCGUGAUACGGUGGUCAAAACCUUCGGGAGUAUAUAUAAUGAAUUUUUAUCGACCAAAAUACAUAACGUGCAAGAAAACGGAGUCCGGGAGGCACACGAGGUGCCCACGAGACAGGGGGCGCGCCCUACAAGGGGGGGUGCCCUCCACUCUCGUGGGGGCCUCGUGUCCCUUUCUGACUACUUCUUUCUUCCUAAAAUUCUUAAAUAAUCCAAAACUGAUAAAAAUUGCCAUUAGAGUUGUUUUGGAGUCGGUUUACUUACCGUACCACAUACCGAUACCUUUUCGGAGUCUAGAACGUUCUGGAAAGUGUCCCUUAUGUAUUCCUCGGGGGUUACUGUUUCAAUAAUAUUAGUUUCAACAUUGAUAGGAUUACCUGAAAUAUAAUGUUUAUUUCUUUGACCAUUUACCACCCUCGGAUUUGUGCCUUCGAAGUUGUUGAUUUUAUAGCACCAGAACGAUAGACCUCCUCGAUAACGUAGGGACCUUCCCAUUUUGAGAGAAGUUUUCCUGCAAAAAAAAUUAAACGAGAGUUGAAUAAUAACACAUAAUCUCCUAUAUUAAACUCACGCUUUUGUAUCCUCUUAUCAUGCCAGCGUUUGACUUUUUCUGUGAAUAGCUUGGCAUUCUCAUAUGCUUGGGUUCUCCAUUCAUCAAGUGAGCUAAUAUCAAACAACCUCUUCUCACCGGCAAGUUUGAAGUCAUAAUUGAGCUCUUUGAUAGCCCAAUAUGCCCUAUGUUCAAGUUCAAGAGGUAAAUGACACGCUUUUCCAUAAACCAUCUUAUAUGGAGACAUACCCAUAGGAUUUUUGUAUGCAGUUCUAUAGGCCCAUAAUGCAUCAUCAAGUUUUUUGGACCAAUUCUUUCUAGAUCUAUUCACAGUAUUUUGUAAAAUUAAUUUGAGCUCUCUAUUGCUCAACUCUACAUGACCACUAGACUGCGGAUGAUAAGGAGAUGCUAUUCUAUGAUUGACAUCAUACUUAGCAAGCUUCUUACGGAAAGCACCAUGAAUAAAAUGUGAACCACCAUCAGUCAUAAGAUAUCUAGGGACUCCAAACCUCAGAAAAAUAACUUCUUUAAGCAUUUUAAUAGAAGUGUUAUGAUCAACACUACUAGUUGGAAUAACUUCUACCCACUUAGUAACGUAAUCAACAACAACUAAAAUAUGUGUAUAACCAUUAGAGGCAGGAAAAGGUCCCAUAUAAUCAAAGCCCCAAACAUCAAACAGUUCAAUAACAAGAGAAUAAUUCUUAGGCAUUUCUUGACGUCUACUAAUGUUACCUAUUCUUUGACAUUCAUCACAAGAUAAGACAAACUUACGAGCAUCUUUAAAGAGAGUAGGCCAAUAAAAACCAAAUUGUAGUACCUCGUGUGCAGUUCUAUCUCCAGCGUGGUGUCCCCCAUAAGAUUCAGAGUGACACUUGCAUAGAAUCUGUUCCUGUUCAUGCUCAUGCACCCAACGUCUAAUAACACCAUCUACUCCUUUAUAAAGGUGUGGAUCAUCCCAGAAGUAAUGUCUUAAAUCAUAAAAGAACUUUUUCUUUUGCUGGUAUGUGAAACUAGGCGGUAUAUAUUUAGCAACAAUGUAAUUAGCAUAAUCAGCAUACCAAGGAGCAGUACGAGAAGCAUUGACGACCGCUAAUUGUUCAUCAGGAAAGCUAUCAUUAAUAAGCAGUGGGUCAUCAAGAACAUUCUCUAACCUAGACAAGUUGUCUGCAACGGGGUUCUCAGCUCCCUUUCUAUCGAUAAUAUGCAAGUCAAAUUCUUGGAACAAGAGAACACAUCUAAUGAGUCUAGGCUUAGGAUCUUUAUUUUCCAUAAGAUAUUUAAUAGCAGCAUGAUCAGUGUGAAUAGUAACUUUGGAAUCAACAAUAUAAGGUCUAAACUUAUCACAUGCAAACACAACUGCUAAGAACUCUUUUUCAGUAGUAGCAUAAUUUCUCUGGGAAGUAUCAAGAGUCUUACUAGCAUACUGGAUAGCAUUCAAUUUCUUAUCGACUCUUUGCCCUAAAACAACACCUACAGCAUAAUCACUAGCAUCGCACAUAAUUUCAAAAGGUAAAUUCCAAUCAGGCAGCUGAACAAUAGGUGCAGUGAUCAAAGCUUUCUUAAGUACUUCAAAUUCUUCUACACAAUCAUCAUCAAAGAAAAGGAAUAUCUUUUUGCAAUAAAUUAGCCAGAGGCCUAGAGAUUUUAGAAAAGUCCUGAAUGAACCUCCUAUAAAAACCGGCGUGACCAAGGAAACUUCUUAUACCUUUUAUGUCCUUGGGACAUGGCAUCUUUUCAAUAGCAUCAUUGGCCUUAUCAACUUCAAUACUUCUCUCAGAGAUCUUGUGCCCCAAGACAAUGCCUUCAUUAACCAUAAAGUGACACUUUUCCCAAUUCAAGACGAGACUAGUGUCUUCGCAUCUCUGUAAAACUCGAUCAAGAUUGCUCAAACAAUCAUCAAAAGAGGAUCCAUAGACUGAGAAGUCAUCCAUGAAUACCUCACAAAUCUUUUCACAAAAAUCAGAGAAUAUAGCCAUCAUGCCUCUUUGAAAGGUUGCAGGUGUAUUACAUAAACCAAAAGGCAUAUGUCUAUAAGCAAAAGUACCAAAAGGGCAAGUAAAAGUAGUUUUAGAUUGAUCCUUCGCUGAUACAGGUAUCUGAGAGAAACCAGAAUAACCAUCUAGAAAGCAGAAAUGUGCGUGUUUGGAUAGUCUUUCUAGCACUUGAUCAAUAAAAGGUAAAGCAUAAUGAUCUUUCUUAGUAGCUUUAUUAAACUUACGGAAAUCAAUUACCAUCCUAUAACCUGUAAUAAUUCUUUGCGGGAUCAAUUCAUCUUUAUAAUUAGGAACAACGGUAAUACCUCCCUUUUUAGGAACACAAUGAACAGGGCUUACCCAUUCAGUAUUAGCAACGGGAUAAAUAAUACCUGCCUCAAGGAGUUUUAGUAUCUCCUUUCUUACCACUUCUUUCAUCUUGGGAUUUAAUCGUCUUUGAGGAUCUCUAACUGGUUUGGCAUCUUUCUCCACUGAAAUUUUAUGUUGACAUAAUGUGGGACUAAUGCCCUUAAGAUCAUCCAGAGUAUAUUCAAUAGUUGCUCGGUGCUUCUUCAGAGUUUUCAAUAAUCUUUCUUCUUCUUUCUCUGAAAUGUUAGCACUAAUAAUAACAGGAUAUAUUUCUUUUUCAUCAAGAUAAGCAUACUUAAGAUUAUCAAGUAAGGGUUUAAGUUCAAACACGGGAUCACCCUUGGGUGGAGGGGGAUCCCCAAGAAUUUCAACGGGAAGGUUAUGUUUCAGCAUAGGUUCCUGUUUAAGGAACACUUCAUCUAUUUCCUCCCUUUCCUUCAUAAACAUAUCAUUUUCAUGGUCUAGCAAAUAUUGUUCUAAAGGAUCGGUUUGAGGAACAGCAAUGGAAGCAAGACCAAUAAUUUCAUCCUUACUAGGUGGUUCCCUUUCACGAGGUUGUCUACUAAACUUAGCGAAAUUAAACUCAUGAGACAUACCAUCAAUGCCAACAGUGACAAUAUUCUUUUCACAAUUGAUCUUAGCACUAGCAGUAUUCAAGAAGGGUCUACCAAAAAUAAUGGGACAAAAAUCAUCUUGUGGGGAACCAAGAACAAGAAAACCAGCAGGGUAUUUAACUUUCCCACAAAAAACUUCAACAUCUCUAACAAUCCCAAUAGGUUUAAUGGUAUCCCUAUUAGCAAGCUUAAUAGUAACAUCAAUGUCUUCUAAUUCAACAGGUGCAAUGUCAUGCAUAAUUUCUUUAUAUAAAUCAUAAGGUAUAGCACUAGCACUAGCACCCAUAUCACAUAAGCCAUGAUAACAAUGGUCUCCUAUUUUAACAGAAAUAACAGGCAUGCCUACAACAGGUCUACGUGUCUUAGUAUCAGGUCUAGCAAUAUUGGCAGUCUCACCCAAGAAAGAAAUAACAUGCCCAUCUAAAUCCUCAUCCAAGAGAUCUUUAACCAUAGCAAUACUAGGUUCAACAUUAAUUUGCUCAGGAGGUGUAUAAGUCCUAGUAUUACUCUUAUGAACAACAGUCGAAGCAUUAGCAUGAUCUUUUAUCCUAACAGGAAAAGGAGGUUUUUCAACAUAAGCAGUAGGAACAAUAGGAUCACUAUAGGUAAUAGUCUUUUCUUCGACUGUAAUAGGUGCAACUACUUUCACUUCAACAGGAGGAUUAUAUUUAAACCACUUCUCUUUAGGGAGAUCAACGUGAGUAGCAAAAGAUUCACAGAAAGUAGCUACUAUCUCAGAGUCAAGUCCAUACUUAGCGCUAAAUCCACGGAAAGCAUAGGUAUCCAUAAAAGAUUUAACACAAUCGAACUUAGGUGUCAUACCUGACUCCUUACCAUCGUCGGAACCCCAAUAUUCAGAGUUGCGUUUAAUUCUUUCCAAUAAGUCCCAUUUGAAAUCAGUAGUCUUCAACAUAUAAGAACUAGCACAGGAAGUAUCGAGCAGGUUGCGAUUAUCAAGAGAAAGCCGAGCAUAAAGGUUCUGAAUAAUCAUUUCCCGAGAGAGCUCAUGAUUGGGGCAUGAAUAUAACAUUGACUUAAGCCUCCCCCAAGCUUUAGCGAUGCUUUCUCCUUCGCGAGGCAAGAAAUUAUAUAUGUAAUUACGAUCACGAUGAACAAGAUGCAUAGGAUAGAACUUUUGGUGAAAUUCCAACUUCAAUCGCUUAUAAUGCCAAGAUCCCAUAUCAUCACAUAUCCUAUACCAUAUAAAUGCAUCUCCCUUCAAAGAUAAAGGGAAGACCUUCCUUUUGACAACAUCAUCGGGAAUACCUGCAAGCUUAAAUAAUCCAUAAACUUCAUCCACAAAGAUAAGGUGUAAAUCGGGAUGCAAUGUUCCGUCUCCUGCAAAUGGAUUAGCUAGCAGUUUUCUAUCAUACCCGAAGGAAUCUCAAAGUAAAUAUUUUCAUAAAGUUCAGUAAGUUGAGAAGCAACUCUUUGCUCUUCUGGUUGGGGUGAAGAUACCCCAAACAAGCCCCUCAAAGGAUUAGUUUCCAUAGUGACAAGUAACAGAAAAUCUCAGCACACUAUAUAAAUGUUUCUUUACCAAGUUCCACUCACCAAAAGCGCUACACUCCCCGGCAACGGCGCCAGAAAAGAGUCUUGAUGACCCACAAGUGUAGGGGAUCUAUCUUAUUCCUUUCGAUAAGUAAGAGUGUCGAACCCAACGAGGAGCAGAAGGAAAUGAUAAGCGGUUUUCAGUAAGGUUUUCUCUGCAAGCACUGAAACUGUAGGUGAUAGAUAGUUUUGUGAUAAGAUAAAUAGUAACGAGUAACAAGUAAAUAAAGUAAAUAAAGUGCAGCAAUGUGGCCCAAUCCUUUAUGUAGCAAAGGAUAAGCCUGGACAAUUUCUAAUAGUGAUAAAGGAGCUCCCGAUGACACAUUGGAAAUUAUCGCCAAGCUAGUUUUCAUCACGUUCAUAUGAUUCGCGUUCGGUACUUUGAUAAUUUGAUAUGUGGAUGGACCGGUACUUGGGUACUGCCCUAACUUGGACAAGCAUCCCACCUAUGAUUAACCCCUAUCGCAAGCAUCUGCAACUACAAAAGAAGUAUUAAGGUAAACCUAACCACAACAUUAAACAUAUGGAUCCAUAUAAACCCCUAACGAAGAAACACAUAAACUAGGGUUUAAGCUUCUGUCACUCUAGCAACCCAUCAUCUACUUAUUACUUCCCCAUGCCUUCCUCUAGGCCCAAAUAAUGCCGAACUGUCAUGCAGUCGACGUUCACAUAACACCACUAGAGGAAAAGACAACAUACAUCUCAUCAAAAUAUCGAACGAAUACCAAAUUCACAUGACUACUAAUAGCAAGACUUCACCCAUGUCCUCAGGAACAAAUGUAACUACUCACAAAGCAUAUUCAUGUUCAUAAUCAGAGGAGUAAUAAUAUGCAUAAAGGAUCUGAACAUAUGAUCUUCCACCAAGUAAACCAAUUAGCAUCAACUACAAGGAGUAAUCAACACUACUAGCAACCCACAGGUACCAAUUUGUGGUUUUGAUACAAGAUUGGAUAUAAGAGAUGAACUAGGGUUUUGGGAGGAGAUGGUGCUGGUGAAGAUGUUGAUGGAGAUUGACUCCCUCCCGAUGAGAGGAUCGUUGGUGAUGACGUUGGUGAUGAUUUCCCCCUACCGGAGGGAAGUGUCCCCGGCAGAACAGCUCUACCAGAGCCCUAGAUUGAUUCCGUCAAGGUUCCGCCUCGUGGCGGCGGAGUUUUGUCCCAUAAGAUUGCCCACGAUUUUUUCCAGGGUAAAAUUGAUGAUAUAGCAGAAGAUAGACGCCGGAGGCCCAACAGGGGGCCCAGGAGAUAGGGGGUGCGCCCUAUAGGGGGGGCGCCCCCCUGUCUCCUGGACAGGGUGUGGCCCCCCUGGCAUAUUUCUUUCGCUCAGAAAUUCUUAUUAAUUCCAAAAAGUUGUUUCGUGGAGUUUCAGGACUUUUGGAGCUGUGCAGAAUAGGUUUCCAAUGUUUGCUCCUUUUCCAGCCAGAAUUCCAACUGUCGGCAUUCCCCCUCUUCAUGGUAAACCUUGUAAAAUAAGAGAGAAUAGCCAUAAGUAUUGAGAUAUAAUAUGUAAUAACAGCCCAUAAUGCAAUAAAUAUUGAUAUAAAAGCAUGAUGCAAAAUGGACGUAUCAGUUACCCGUGACCACGUCCGAAGCUGCAUUCACUUGUGUCGCAUCGAUGUGUUUCAGGUGGUAUGGUACACGUGCUAGACCACUAGGACCACGUCCGCGGCUAGCCACAAGCACAUUCGCACGUACUUGUGCUGAAUUAGCCCGAUGCUUGUUUUGAGGUGGGACAGUUCCACUCGUGCCAGGUUGUGGUUGACUCUUACUCAGGCAUUUGUUUUGUAGUGACCCUUUUGUCCACAACCAAAACAGACAACACUCGCCUUUGGGCAAUCUCGAGCGAUGUGUGGUCCACCGCACACAUGACACUUUAUAGGGGCUUUAGGAGGCAUAAAGGGUGGUCUAGGGGCUUGAGGGAGAGGAGGACAGAUGGGUCCGACCAUUGGUGGGCGGACUAGGCCAACAGAGUUGUAUCCACUCCUCAUGAGGAACCUCUGGUCCAUUCUAGAUUUCUUUCUCCGUUCUUCCUCUAUGGCUAAUUGCCGAUUCUCAAUAAUAAUGACUCGAUCUACUAGCUCCCGAAACUUAGUUAUAUUUAUAGGGGCUAUGAUCAGCUGUAUGGAUGGCUUCAAUCCUUCUAUGAACCGGUACACCCUUUUGGUCUCAGUGUUUGUGUCUUCUGAUGCAUAGCGGGAUAGUGAGUUAAACUCAUCUAGGUACUCUGCGAUGGUUUUAGACCCUUGUUUAAGGCUUAGGAAUUUCUUACUUUUUAGUUCCAUCGCACUUUGCGGGACAUAGUUAUCUCGGAAUCUCCUCUUAAAUUCCUCCCAAGUAACUAUGUGGUUUUCGGGUAUGAUAAUUUGGACAUUUCUCCACCAUGUGGCAGCAGGACCAAUUAACCGAUGGGAUGCAUACCGAACUUUUUCUUGAUCCGUGCAUCCCACAGUGUUAAGUUUCAGCUCUAUGUCCAUCAACCAAUCCUCUGCGGCUAAUGGAUUGUGGCGGUUGAAAAGGUUGGUGGUCUAGUCUUUUGGAAGUCUCCAAUCGUGACACCUUGUUCUGGGUUUUUAGUCAGUUGGCCUCUCGUCACACUGAACAUCUGCUCCAUGAACUUAUUCUGGUGUUCUAGAGAGUCUCGAUGAGACUGCUCCAUCCACUGAUACAUUAGAGCAAGUUGAUCGGAUCCAGGGGCAUGAUGGGGUAAUGGUGGAGGUGGAGGUAACGUCACUCUAGACAACAAAUCUGCCAUGUUCCUUAGCCACUCGGGUGCUAAAUCUGAUGGGUUCCCAUUGUCUUCGAAUGACUGACUACCAGAUGCCAUCGCUACCGAUCUGGUGGGCAAGGCAUAGGUUAUAACGAUAGCUACUACAUGUGAAAAUAUUUUAUUUAUUUGAUUAGAGGUGAGAUUUUAGCCCACACAGUACACUUCACGCUUCCUUUUUUGGAGCAUCUAUUUAAACAGUGCACUUAACAGCGACAUACUAGAAAAUUUUGCGAAACAUUUUUUUACUUGUUGUUGGCCGAAGAAUAAAAGCAGUCAAACAAAGUGAUUCUUUUUAUCAUGACAGAGGCAAGAGAUUAAUCACAAUUCAAAAAUAGAGCCACUUGCACAUGCACAUGCACACACAAGUUCUUCAUGUACCGGAUUAAAAGCAUUCAAUCAUCAAGUGCGUGACAUACAUCAAUUGAACUCAUGAAGUGCUAGGAAAAAUGUAGCGGCAUCAGCACAUAAUAUAUAUACUAGCCCAACACGUGAUGUACCAAGGCAUGGACUGGAAUGAAGAGAUCACCCGAAAAAAUCUACCAUACAUCAGACGCCAUUAUGAAGCAUUGGCAACAACGUGGCAACAACAUCACAUACAGUAUUCCAUCAUACAGAGCAAGGAGCAUAAAAAGAACCAGAAUUUAAAAUGACAUGGCAUAUGCGUCACACGAGAUCACCUAGUAGUAGAAUAUCAGUACAUCCAUAAGUCCACCGGUCCACAUGAAUACAUCACAUAACAUAAUCGCAACACCACACAUGACUAUUUGUCGUACCAUCAGGUUACCAUGACUAUCUAUAUAUGUACCUAGAAAAAAAGUAUAUAUGUCUCCCUAUCUGCCUGUCGGGACCAAUCUGGGUAAAUAUGGUUGUGUAAACUCUAGAAGGGUAGCUAUGUCUACAAGACCUUUCUAAUUAUGUACAAAAUCCAAAAGGACAACCUCCAUGCAUCUGCCUAAACAUCUAAUAAGUGGUGGAACUAACUCUGCGAGGAGUAACUAUCUAGCAUGAUGCCACAACCUUGUUAGAAAACUAACUACUACUACUAAUAGUACGAAGUCAAUCCUCCCUGAUGAGAAGACUAGGUGAAAUGGUGAGGAGCAAGUCGGGGUUGAGGACAGAAGUCGGUGAAGGUAUAGACUGACUGGGUGCGGUGCCUCUGAAGAGUGCCUACUUGGUCUAACAGGUCCUGAACAAGCUGAGGUGUAGGUGGACACCUGUACGGUGUAGAGGGACGAGACACUGCUCGAGCGGGGGAACCCCUAAAAACUCUAGGAGUUGGGCAGUCUGCACGAGGGGGUGGAACUGCUUGGUACAAAUGAGGAAGAGCGGCAGUCAGAGUUAGUGGUGGUAAAAACGUGAGAGGUAAAACAGGAGGACGUGGUGGAAGUGGAAGGAAAGCAAAAGUGGACGCAAAAUGGUGAAGGAGCGACAGUGGGUGGAGGUGCUGACGAAUUCCCUGAUUACUCUUAUUGAUGAGCCAAUUGCCUCUACCACGCAAACAAGGAGAAGGUGGCAGGCAUGGAAAAUAUGUAAAGUGGCAUUCCAUGCCGCACCCUAAAGUGCUGAAGCAAAGUUGUAUUGUGCGACACUAUGCCUAGAUGGGACAUCUAAGCCCUCGGGUAUGUGCACUGUGACUAAGUACCCCGUGGAAUGAUACGUCUCUAAAGUAUCUAUAAUUUUUGAUUGUUCCAUGCUAUUACAUUACCCCUUUUGGAUGUUUAUGGGCUUUAUUUUACACAUUUAUAUCAUUUUUUGGGACUAACCUACUAACCGGAGGCCUAGCCCAUAUUGCUGUUUUUUGCCUAUUUCAGUAUUUCGAAGAAAAGGAAUAUCAAACGGAGUCCAAACGGAAUGAAACCUUCGGCAACAUGAUUUUUUGGAAGAAUAUGAUCCUGGAGACUUCGAGUCCAUGUCAGAAGAUCCUCGAGGGGGCCACGAGAUAGGAGGUCACGCCCCCCUUACAGGGUGGUGGCCUCCUAUCUCGUGGGCCCCUCGAGCACCUCCCGACUGACUUCUUUCGCCUAUAUAAGCCUACGUACCCUAAAACCAUCAAAAAUCAAGAUAGAUUGGGAGUUCCGCCGCCGCAAGCCUCUGUAGCCACCAAAAACCUCUCGGGAGCCUGUUCCGGCACCCUGCCGGAGGGGGAAUCCAUCACCGGUGGCCAUCUUCAACAUCCCAGCGCUCUCCAUGACGAGGAGGGAGUAGUUCACCCUUGGGGCUGAGGGUAUGUACCAGUAGCUAUGUGUUUGAUCUCUCUCUCUCUCGUGUUCCCUCUAUGGCACGAUCUUGAUGUAUCCCGAGCUUUGCUAUUGUAGUUGGAUCUUAUGAUGUUUCUCCCCCUCUACUCUCUUGUGAUGAAUUGAGUUUUCCUCUUAAAGUUAUCUUAUCGGAUUGAGUCAUUUAUUUGAGAACACUUGAUGUAUGUAUUGCCCUGUUUAUCUGUGAUGGCAAUGAGAUAUCACGUGCCUCUUGAUGUAUGUUUUGGUGACCAACUUGCCGGUUCCGCCCAUGAACCUAUGCAUAGGGGUUAGCACACGUUCUUGACUCUCCGGUAGAAACUUUGGGGCACUCUUUGAAGUACUUUGUGUUGGUUGAAUUGAUGAAUCUAAGAUUGUGUGAUGCAUAUUGUAUAAUCAUGCCCACGGAUACUUGAGGUGACAAUGGUGUAUCUAGGUGACAUUAGGGUUUUGGUUGAUUUGUGUCUUAAGGUGUUAUUCUAGUACGAACUCUUGAAUAGAUUGAUCUAAAAGAAUAACUUUGAGGUGGUUUCGUACCCUACCAUAAUCUCUUCGUUUGUUCUGCGCUAUUAGUGGCUUUGGAGUGACUCUUUGUUGCAUGUUGAGGGAUUUUUAUAUGAUCUAUCUAUGUUAUUAUUGUUGAGAGAACUUGCACUAGUGAAAGUAUGAACCCUAGGCCUUGUUUUCUAUCAUUGCAAUACCGUUUACACUCACUUUUAUCAUUAGUUACCUUGCUGUUUUUAUAUUUUCAGAUUAGAAAUACCUAUAUCUACCAUCCAUAUUGCACUUGUAUCACCAUCUCUUCGCCGAACUAGUGCACCUAUACAAUCUACCAUUGUAUUGGGUGUGUUGGGGACACAAGAGACUCUUUAUUAUUUGGUUGCAGGGUUGUUUGAAAGAGACCAUAUUCAUCCUACGCCUCCUACGGAUUGAUAAACCUUAGGUCAUCCACUUGAGGGAAAUUUUCUACUGUCCUACAAACCUGUGCACUUGCAGGCCCAACAACGUCUACAAGAAGAAGGUUGUGUAGUAGACAUCAAGCUCUUUUCUGGCGCCGUUGCCAGGGAUGUUAGCGCUUGAAGGUAUAUCUUUAGAUCUUGCAAUCGAAUCUUUUUGUUUCUUGUUUUAUCACUAGUUUAGUUUAUAAAAGAAAACUAUAAAAAAAUGGAGUUAAGUUUGUCUCAUAUUAUCUUUUUAAUAUCUUUCGUGAGCAUGAUGGAAAGGAAAAUUGUGCUCAAGUGCUAGAAGAAGAAUGCAUUAAAAUGCUUGGUAGUAAAUCUUUGAAUGAUGAGCAUGAUUGCAAUGUUGUUAGUAUGAAUUCCUUGAAUAUCCAUGAUGCUAAUGAUAUGCAAAGCCACAAGCUUGGGGAAGAUAUGUUUGAUGAAUAUGAUAUAUUUUGUCCCCCAAGCUUUGAUGAGCAAAUUUAUUUUGAUGAUAGCAUGCCUCCUAUUUAUGAUGAUUAUAUUGAUGAAAGUGGGUUUGGAAGAGUGACAACUUUAGGAAGUAGUGAUCCCACUAUUUUGGAGGAUGUUGAAUCUUAUUACGAUGAACAUGAAAGUGGAUUUGGAAGAGUGUAAACUUUAUUUAGUGAUGAAUCCACUAUUUCGGAAGAGGUUCCAAUUGAUUAUGAGAACAAAGUUGCUAUCUAUGAUGAUUAUUGUGAUGACUUGUAUGCUAUUAGGAAUAAUGAUAACCAUGAAACUUGUCAUCAUGAUUUUAGUUUUGAAUUGGAUUAUGCCUCACAUGAUAAUUAUUUUGUUGAGUUUGCUCCCACUAUUAUUCGUGAGAAGAAAUUUGCUUAUGUGGAGGGUAGUAAAUUUUAUAUGCUUCUAGAUCAUGAAAAGAAUGCUUUAGAUGCUGGUUAUAUUGUUGAAUUCAUUCAUGAUGCUACUGAAAAUUAUUAUGAGGGAGGAACAUAUGCUUGUAGGAAUUGCAAUAACGUCAAGUUUCCUCUCUAUGUGCUUACAUUUUUGAAGCUAUGCUUGUUUUACCUUCCUAUGGUAGUUGAUUAUUGUUCCCAUAAGUUGUUUGCUCACAAAAUCCCUAUGCAUAGGAAGUGGGUUAGGCUUAAAUGUGCUAGUCAUAUGCUUCAUGAUGCUUCCGUUAUGUUUCAAUUCUUAUCUUUUUGUGAGCAUCAUUGUCAUCAUCAUGCCUAGCUAGAAAAGCAUUAAAGAAAAGCGCUUGUGGGAGACAAUCCAAUAUUUAUCCUUACUGUUUUUGUGUGUCCACAUGAUUAUGCUACUGUAGUAAUCAUGUUUUAUAGCUUUUGUUUCAAUAAAGUGUCAAGUAAGACCUUUAGGAUAGCUUAUGGUGAUAGUUGUGUUGAUCCUGCUGAAAAUCAGAAACUUUUUCACCCAGUAAUUUAGUUUUUUUAAUUCACAGAAACGUUCGUCUAGUCUGAUUCUUUUUUCUUUGGAUUGGUACACAAAUUUCUUAGAACUUCCUAAUGUUGUAGGAUUUUUGGAGUUCCAGAAGUAUACGUUUGAUACAGAUUACUACAGACUGUUCUAUUUUUGACAGAUUCUAUUUUCUAUGUGUUGUUUGCUUAUUUUGAUGAAUCUAUGAGUAGUAUCGUAGGAUAUGAACCAUAGAUAAGUUGAAGUACAGUAGAUAUUACACCAAUAUGAAUUUAGAAUGAGUUCAUUACAGUACCUAAGCGGUGGUUUUAGUUUCUUAUACUAAAGGAGCUUACGAGUUUUCUGUUGAGUUUUGUGUUGUGGAGUUUUCAAGUUUUGGGUAAAGAUUCGAUGGACUAUGGAAUAAGGAGUGGCAAGAGCCUAAGCUUGGGGAUGCCCAAGGCACCCCAAGUUAAUAUUCGAGAAUAGCCAAAAGCCUAAGCUUGGGGAUUCCCCAGAAGGCAUCCCCUCUUUCGUCUUCGUUCAUCGGUAACUUUACUUGGAGCUAUAUUUUAUAUUCACCACAUGAUAUGUGUUUUGCUUGGAGCGUAAUUUUCUUUUCUUAGUAUUUUCUUGCUGUUAUUUAGAAUAAUGUUUUGCAUCUUUAGUUUCAAUAAAAAAGUCAAGGAUAGCCUUUGCCAUGCUUAUUUUGCUAUUAUACAUGUUGCUGUUUGAAAACAGAAAGUUUACUGCUGUUGCGAAAAUUCCCUAGAAAAGUCAGAGAAUGGUAUAAUGUUGAAACCUUUUGCAUGAUGAGAUCUGAUAAAUUUACUACAGUGGGAAUUUUAUUUCAUAAUUUUUGGAGUUAGGAAAGUAUGGAUACUCUUGCAUUUUUUACAGACUGUACUGUUUUGGCAGAUUGCUGUUAUGUUUGCAUUGUUUGCAUAUGUUUGCUUGUUUAAUAAUUCUAUUUGAGGAUAGGAAUAUUAAAUAUGCAGAGGCAUUUAGUAUGAAAUGUUGAACAAUAAUUUUAUUGAUUUGUUAUAGUAGAAUAUGAUAAGGUUUUGCAUUGGUUUGUACUAACCUAUCUCACGAGUUUUUGUUGAGUUUGUUGUGAAUGAAGCUUUUGAGAAAUAGAGAAUUCAUGAUAUGAGAGAAAUUAAGGAGACACAAAAGUUCAAGAUUAGGGAUGCCCAAGGCACUCCAACAUAAUAUUCAAGAAGUCUCAAGCAUCUAAGCUUGGGGAUGCCCGGUAGGCAUCCCACCUUUCUUCUUCAACAACUAUCGGUUAGUAUCGGUUGAGCCUAAGUUUUUGCUUCUUCACAUGAGUUGUGCUAUCCUUAAAAUGUCAUUUUAUUUUAUUUUGUUUGCUAUUUGAAUAAGAUACCAAGAUCUAAAAUUUCUUAAUGUUAGAAAGUCUUCACAUAUUUGCACAAUUAUUCGACUACUCAUUGAUCUUCAUAUAUCUUUCGGAGUAGUUUGUCAUUUGCUCUAGUGCAUCACUUAUAUCAUUUAGAGCACGGAGGUGGUUAUAUUUUGUAUAAAUUGUUGACCUCUCAUGCUUCACUUAUAUUAGUUUGAGAGUCUUUUAGAGCAGCAUGGUAUUUGCUAUGAUUACAAAGUUGGUCCUAGAAUGAUGAGCAUCCAAGUUGGGUAUAAUAAAAACUAUCAUAGAAAGUGAAUUGGAUGCUAUGAUCAACUUGAUGCUUGAUAAUUGUUUUGAGAUGUGGAGGAAGUGACAUUAAAGGCAUGCUAGUUGGGUGAUUAUGAAUUUAAAGAAUGCUUGUGUUGAAGUUUGUGAUUCCCAUAGCAUGCACGUAUGGUGAACCACUUUGUGAUGAAGUUGGAGCACAAUUUUAUUUAUUGAUUGUCUUCCUUAUGAGUGGCUGUCGGGGACGAGUGAUGGCCUUUUCUUACCAAUCUAUCCCCCUAGGAGCAUGCGCGAAGUGCUUUGGUUUUUGAUGACUUCUAGCAACAAGUAUAUGAGUUCUUUUGAUUAAUGUUGAGUCCAUGGAUUAUACGCACUCCUUCACCCUUCCACCAUUGCUAGCCUCUCUUGUACCGUGCAACUUUUGCUGGUACCAUACACCCAUCAUAGUCCUUCCUCAAAACAGCUACCAUACCUACCUAUUAUGGCAUUUCCAUAGUCAUUCCGAGAUAUAUUGCCAUGCAACUUUCCACCGUUCCGUCCAUAUGACACGCAUUACUUUUGUCAUAUUGCUUUUUGCAUGAUCAUGUAGUUGAUAUUGUAUUUGUGGCAAGGCCACCUUCAUAAUUUUCAUACAUGUCGCUCUUGAUUCAUUGCAUAUCCCGGUACACCGCCGGAGGCAUUCAUAUAGAGUCAUAUCUUGUUCUAUCUUUGAGUUGUAAAUCCAUAAAAGUGUGAUGAUCUUCAUUAUUAGAGCAUUGUCCUAGUGAGGAAAGGAUGAUGAAGACUAUGAUUCCCCACAAGUCGGGAUGAGACUUCGGACUUUACAAAAAGAAAAAAAGGAAAACAAGAGAAAGGCCAAAAAGAAAAAAGAAAAAAAAAGAGAAGGCCAAAGAAAAGAAAAAAAAAGAAGAAAAAGAAGAUAGAAAGGACAAUGCUACUAUCUCUUUUUCCACACUUGUGCUUCAAAAUAGCACCAUGAUCUUCAUGUUAGAGAGUCUCAUAUGUUGUCACUUUCAUAUACUAGUGGGAAUUUUUCAUUAUAGAACUUGGUUUGUAUAUUCCAAUGAUGGGCUUCCUCAAAAGUGCCCUAGGUCUUCAUGAGCAAGCUAGUUGGAUGCACCCCACUUAGUUUCUUUUGUUGAACUUUCAUACAUUUAUAGCUCUAGUGCAUCUGUUGCAUGGCAAUCCCUACUCACUCACAUUGAUAUCUAUUAAUGGGCAUCUCCAUAGCCCGUUGAUACGCCUAGUUGAUGUGAUACAAUCUUCUCCCUUUUUUGUCUUCUCCAUAACCACCAUUCUAUUCCACAUAUAAUGCUAUGUCCAUGGCUCACGCUCAUGUAUUGCGUGAAAGUUGAAAAAGUUUGAGAAUAUUAAAGUGUGAAACAAUUCCUUGGCUUGUCAUCGGGGUUGUGCAUGAUUAAAUACUUUGUGUGAUGAAGAUAGAGCAACAGCCAGACUAUAUGAUUUUGUAGGGAUAACUUUCUUUAGCCAUGUUAUUUUGAGAAGACAUGAUUACUUUGAUUAGUAUGCUUGAAGUAUUACUAUUUCUUAUGUCAAUAUGAACUUUUAUUUUGUAUCUUUUGGAUCUGAACAUUCAUGCCACAAUAAAAAAAUUACAUUGAGAAUUAUGCUAAGUAGCAUUCCACAUCAAAAAUCUGUUUUUAUCAUUUACCUACUCGAGGACGAGUAGGAAUUAAGCUUGGGGAUGCUUGAUACGUCUCUAACGUAUCUAUAAAUUUUGAUUGUUCCAUGCUAUUAUAUUACCCCUUUUGGAUGUUUAUGGGCUUUAUUUUACACAUUUAUAUCAUUUUUGGAACUAACCUACUAACCGGAGGCCCAGCCCAUAUUGCUGGGUUUUUUUUGCCUAUUUCAGUAUUUCGAAGAAAAGGAAUAUCAAACGGAGUCCAAACGGAAUGAAACCUUCGGCAGCGUGAUUUUUUGGAAGAAUAUGAUCCUGGAGACUUGGAGUACACGUCAGAAGAUCCUCGAGGAGGCCACGAGAUAGGAGGCCGCGCCCCCCUUACAGGGUGGUGGCCCCCUAUCUCGUGGGCCCCUCGAGCACUUCCCGACCGACUUCUUUCGCCUAUAUAAGCCUACGUAUCCUAAAACCAUCAAAAAUCAAGAUAGAUCGGGAGUCCCGCUGCCUCAAGCCUCUAUAGCCAGCAAAAACCUCUCGGGAGCCCGUUCCGGCACCCUGCCGGAGGGGGAAUCCAUCACCAGUGGCCAUCUUCAUCAUCCCGGCGCUCUCCAUGAUGAAGAGGGAGUAGUUCACCCUCGGGGCUGAGGGUAUGUACCAGUAGCCAUGUGUUUGAUCUCUCUCUCUCUCUCGUGUUCUCUCUCGUGUUCCCUCUAUGGCACGAUCUUGAUGUAUCCCGAGCUUUGCUAUUGUAGUUGGAUCUUAUGAUGUUUCUCCCCCUCUACUCUCUUGUGAUGAAUUGAGUUUCCCUCUUGAAGUUAUCUUAUCGGAUUGAGUCUUUUAUUUGAGAACACUUGAUGUAUGUAUUGCCCUGUUUAUCUGUGGUGACAAUGGGAUAUCACGUGCCUCUUGAUGUAUGUUUUGGUGACCAACUUGCGGUUCCGCCCAUGAACCUAUGCAUAGGGGUUGGCACACGUUCUUGACUCUCCGGUAGAAACUUUGGGGCACUCUUUGAAGUACUUUGUGUUGGUUGAAUUGAUGAAUCUGAGAUUGUGUGAUGCAUAUCGUAUAAUCAUGCCCACGGAUACUUGAGGUGACAAUGGAGUAUCUAGGUGACAUUAGGGUUUUGGUUGAUUUGUGUCUUAAGGUUUUAUUCUAGUACGAACUCUUGAAUAGAUUGAUCCGAAAGAAUAACUUUGAGGUGGUUUCAUACCCUACCAUAGUCUCUUCGUUUGUUCUCCGUUAUUAGUGGAUUUGGAGUGACUCUUUGUUGCAUGUUAAGGGAUUGUUAUAUGAUCUAUCUAUGUUAUUAUUGUUGAGAGAACUUGCACUAGUGAAAGUAUGAAUCCUAGGCCUUGUUUCCUAUCAUUGCAAUACCGUUUACGCUCACUUUUAUCAUUAGUUACCUUGCUGUUUUUAUAUUUUCAUAUUAUAAAUACCUAUAUCUACCAUCCAUACUGCACUUGUAUCACCAUCUCUUCGCCGAACUAGUGCACCUAUACAAUCUACCAUUGUAUUGGGUGUGUUUGAGACACAAAAGACUCUUUGUUAUUUGGUUGCAGGGUUGUUUGAGAUAGACCAUCUUCAUCCUACGCCUCCUACGGAUUGAUAAACCUUAGGUCAUCCACUUGAGGGAAAUUUUCUACUGUCCUACAAACCUGUGCACUUGCAGGCCCAACAACGUCUACAAAAAAAAAGGUUGUGCAGUAGACAUCAUGGAACACGGGUCAUGAAACACUUUGUAGUACGGUGCAAGCAACACAACAAGAAUACGAAGAAGCACAAUCAAGAAUAGAGCAAAACCACAGUACUCGACACCCGUACGACACAAUCUACCACUCAACAUCCUACAUUAAGAAAUUAAGAAUUUAGUACUGAUUUAGGACAAAAUAAGUACGUAUAUUCUGAACACAUUUUACUUGCAUAAUUCUAAGUAUGAGGUUUAAUUUAUUUAAUCUACUCUUGACUUGAGUCACUUUUUUUCAAAGAGUAUAUAUAGGAGACGUAGAACUUGAGAUGACAAGAGAUGGAUUUUUUUGAGAAACUUUUAUUUUCUUUAGGUAAGGAGGGAACCUGUCUUUUCUAAGGCUUAACAGACUCUAACUAAGUACAUGACUCUUUCCUUAACGAUGCUCUGAUACCACCUCUUCUGUGACGCCCUGUUACGUCCAACAGAGUUAGGCGUAACGGAAGCCGUCACUUCAGAGUUGCGCCAGGAUCAGUUAAGGAAAAUAGUAUCAUGUACAAGACGGAGCAACUGCCAUGAGUAGGCAAGCUUUUAUUACAUAGACACCUCAAGUGUCGACUAAGCCUAAGCGACCAUGACGAUAGAUCGUCACCCGCUUCUAGUGCGAGCCUUCUAGACCAACCAUGGAGGACAUCUACUCUUCAUAGACUUGAUUGCCAACAUCCUCAUGAUCAUACUUCACUUCAGAAUAACCAUAGUCGUCAAGAUGACCAGAC